This is a non-coding RNA of Peromyscus maniculatus bairdii (prairie deer mouse), 557 nucleotides long. The record is from RefSeq and is a predicted model, not a curated record. NCBI's taxonomy places the organism in Eukaryota, Metazoa, Chordata, Mammalia, Rodentia, Cricetidae.
UGGUCUCCUAUCCUCCCACCCAUCCGUGACCUGACUCUGUCUGCAACCCAGUCACGUACCCUGCUUGUGCCACCAGGGCGGAGUUGAAGUUGGAACUGAAGGCCGAAGCAAAGCCGGGGAGGACAGGCGCAGGAGCUGCUGCACCUUCUGGGCGCCUUCACAGGAAGUGGGAGGGAGUGCUCCCACUGAGACGCCCCACCUUGGCCCAGUAAUCAGGUUUCCGAGCUGCUCUUCUCCCCGAGAACUCCUAUUCCUCCCUCUGCAGAAAGCAUCUCUUCCUGUGGCCCAUUCAUGCCUGGGGAUGAAGCUGCCACCAGGAGGCGCCACCAAGGCCACCUGUCUUCAGUCCCUUAGCUGCUCCAGAGCCCCUGAUCAUUUUCCACAUUAGGACUUACUAGACUUAUUAUCUGUCAGAAAGGGUUAUCUUUGUGUGCACAUGAAAAGCACCUUUCCCAUAUCAGAAUGCUAAGUGAAUACGGAUGUACAUGGCAUGUGACCUUUACAUUUCACAGAGUCUUGCAAACAGGACACAAAGUCACUAAAUUAAUUUAAAUUCA